GAGGAAAGCGGGCGGCGGGCUGAACACAUGCAAGUCGAACGAUGAAGCCCAGCUUGCUGGGUGGAUUAGUGGCGAACGGGUGAGUAACACGUGAGUAACCUGCCCUUAACUCUGGGAUAAGCCUGGGAAACUGGGUCUAAUACCGGAUAGGAGCGUCCACCGCAUGGUGGGUGUUGGAAAGAUUUAUCGGUUUUGGAUGGACUCGCGGCCUAUCAGCUUGUUGGUGAGGUAAUGGCUCACCAAGGCGACGACGGGUAGCCGGCCUGAGAGGGUGACCGGCCACACUGGGACUGAGACACGGCCCAGACUCCUACGGGAGGCAGCAGUGGGGAAUAUUGCACAAUGGGCGCAAGCCUGAUGCAGCGACGCCGCGUGAGGGAUGACGGCCUUCGGGUUGUAAACCUCUUUCAGUAGGGAAGAAGCGAAAGUGACGGUACCUGCAGAAGAAGCACCGGCUAACUACGUG
RNAcentral lists this ribosomal RNA (466 nucleotides) under uncultured bacterium. Its description in RNAcentral is "partial 16S ribosomal RNA". It matches the Rfam family "Bacterial small subunit ribosomal RNA", at positions 31 to 507 of the family's 1533-position model. The record is from RNAcentral.